GAUGAACGCUGGCGGCGUGCCUAAUACAUGCAAGUAGAACGCUGAAGGAAGGAGCUUGCUCUUUCCGGAUGAGUUGCGAACGGGUGAGUAACGCGUAGGUAACCUGCCUGGUAGCGGGGGAUAACUAUUGGAAACGAUAGCUAAUACCGCAUAACAGUAGAUGUUGCAUGAUAUCUACUUAGAAGGUGCAAUUGCACCACUACCAGAUGGACCUGCGUUGUAUUAGCUAGUUGGUGAGGUAACGGCUCACCAAGGCGACGAUACAUAGCCGACCUGAGAGGGUGAUCGGCCCAACUGGGACUGAGACACGGCCCAGACUCCUACGGGGGGGAGCAGGAGGGAAUCUUCGGCAAUGGACGGAAGUCUGACCGAGCAACGCCGCGGGAGUGAAGAAGGUUUUCGAAUCGUAAAGCUCUGUUGUAAGAGAAGAACGAGUGUGGGAGUGGAAAGUUCACACUGUGACGGUAUCUUACCAGAAAGGGACGGCUAACUACGUG
Molecule: ribosomal RNA, 497 nt
Filed under: uncultured bacterium
Lineage: Bacteria
Description: partial 16S ribosomal RNA
Rfam family: Bacterial small subunit ribosomal RNA
Source: RNAcentral